Molecule: non-coding RNA, 72 nt
Organism: Ameiurus melas (black bullhead)
Lineage: Eukaryota; Metazoa; Chordata; Actinopteri; Siluriformes; Ictaluridae
Source: the annotation of a GenBank genome assembly
GUGGCUGUGGCUCAGGUGGUAGAGCAGUUUGUCCACUAAUCAUAGGACUGGUGGUUCGAUUCCCAGCCCACA